GACGGAGGAUGCAAGUGUUAUCCGGAAUCACUGGGCGUAAAGCGUCUGUAGGUGGUUUAAAAAGUCCACUGUUAAAAAUUGAAGCUUAACUUCAAAGAUGCCGUGGAAACUUUUAAACUGGAGUAUGGUAGGGGUAGAGGGAAUUUCCAGUGGAGCGGUGAAAUGUGUAGAUAUUGGAAAGACCACCAAUGGCGAAGGCACUCUACUGGGCCAUGACUGACACUGAGAGACGAAAGCUAGGGGAGCAAAUGGG
RNAcentral lists this ribosomal RNA (253 nucleotides) under uncultured prokaryote. Its description in RNAcentral is "partial 16S ribosomal RNA". It matches the Rfam family "Bacterial small subunit ribosomal RNA", at positions 524 to 776 of the family's 1533-position model. The record is from RNAcentral.